CACCGCGGUUAUACGAGAGGCCCAAGUUGACAGACAACGGCGUAAAGGGUGGUUAGGAGUACAAAUUAAACUAAAGCUAAACGCUUUCAAGGCUGUUAUACGUGCCCGAAAGUAUGAGACCCAAUUACGAAAGUAGCUUUACCUAGUCUGAAUCCACGAAAGCUAAGAAA
This 170-nucleotide ribosomal RNA is filed under the name Xystreurys liolepis. Its description in RNAcentral is "partial small subunit ribosomal RNA". The record is from RNAcentral. Lineage: Eukaryota; Metazoa; Chordata; Actinopteri; Pleuronectiformes; Paralichthyidae.